GAGUAGCUGGGACUAUAGGUGCCCGCCACCACGCCAGGCUAAUUUUUUGUAUUUUUAGUAGAGAUGGGGUUUCACCGUGUUAGCCAGGAUGGUCUCGAUCUUCUGACCUCGUGAUCCGCCCGCCUCGGCCUCCCAAAGUGCUAGGAUUACAGGCGUGAGCCACCGCGCCCGGCAGCAAAUUUUAAGCCAAGAAAUUGAAUGUUGCCAGAACCCCAGGAACCACCCAGCCUCUUCCCAUAUGACCACUUCCCCACACUCUCCACCUUCCUUACUUCUAUGAUGCCCCUGGCUUCAGAUAGAAAGGCCCUGAACAUCUACUGGGGUUUUGAGAAGAAUAUCAACACUUUCCUAAGAGAAUUUUCUAUCUGUAUUGAUGGAUGGUUGGGUGACAUGGACUCCAGUAUGUGCCAUGAAGGAUACGAAGAUGAAGCUGUCAUGAACUCUGCUCUCGAGAAGCUACUGUCAAAGUUUGUUUUUUUUAAACUUGAUAUAUUUGAGGUAGAAUUGACAAGAUUUUAGUAUUGAUGAAAUAAGAUAAAAGGGAUGGUGAAAUUAAUGAUGACUUUAGCCAAAAUAAUUAAUUCAGGUGGGGAGGAGAGAAGGGGAUUGACUGAAUUCUAGUUGACUGAGGCUUACUCAUAGUGGGAAGAGCUGUGAGCCAUGUACUGUUUUAUUUAUUGUUUUGUUUUCGGGUUUUGUUUUUCAAUACCAAAAGUGGAUAUUCAUGGAGUCUGAGAAGCUAGGAUUAGAAAUGCAGUAUGUGACAGCAGAAUGGCAAUGUCAUAAACCGUCACUGUGCUAGGUUCUAGAAAUAAAAUAUAGUUGAUCCUUGAACAACACAGAUUUGAAGUGCCUGGGUCCACUUACAUGCAGAUUUUCAUCCACUUCUGCCAUCCCUGAUACAGCAAGAACAACACCUCCUCUUUCUUCUCCUCCUCAGCCUUCUCAAUGUGAACACCACAAGGAUGAAGACCUUUAUAAUGAUCCAUCUCCACUUAAUUAAGAAUAAAUAUUUUUUCUCUUACUCAUGAUUUUAUUAAUGGUAUUUUCUUUUCUCUAGCUUACUUUAUUAUAAAAAUACAGUAUAUAAUACAUAUAGCACACAAAAUAUGUGUUGAUCGACUAUUUAUGUUAUUGAUAAGGCUUCCGGUCAAAAGUAGGCUAAUAGUAGCUACAUUUUUUGGCAAAUCAAAGGCUAAUUACUUGGAUCUGAUCACUAUACAUUAUGUAUAUCACAACAUCACUAUGUGCCCCAUAAAUAUGUACAAUUAUUGUGUUUAUUUAAAAUUUGGAAAAUAAAAAGUUACAAAACAUUUUUUUAAAAUUUAAAAUUUAAAA
This 1338-nucleotide long non-coding RNA is filed under the name Homo sapiens (human). RNAcentral describes it as "uncharacterized CTB-1I21.1". Lineage: Eukaryota; Metazoa; Chordata; Mammalia; Primates; Hominidae. The record is from RNAcentral.